RNAcentral lists this long non-coding RNA (7927 nucleotides) under Hordeum vulgare. RNAcentral's name for it is "long non-coding RNA (HVUL_LNC006006)". Lineage: Eukaryota; Viridiplantae; Streptophyta; Magnoliopsida; Poales; Poaceae. The record is from RNAcentral.
AUCGAUCGCUCGAUAAUCUCGCCUGCUGCUCUGAUCUAGCGUUUCUUACCCCGGCCGUUCCCCGAACCCCUUCUCCUGAUCUCCCGUGUCAAGCGCUGUUAACCCAAGCUGAUCGACAUGAGGCUUAUUUUUAAGACAAUGAUCGACGCUGGCAUGCCGCAGCAACCACAUCCACGUGCAAGCACACAACGCGGCCGGGCCGAUCCAUGAUGAUGCUAGGCCGCCGAUACACUACAAUUUCUUCUCAAUCUUCAUCAAUUGAUCAAUCGUCCUUUCGCAAAGUACAAGUGAUCCCACUUAUGUUAUGGUACAUGUCCUUAUCUGUCUGUUAUUUUUCUAAAUUAUUUUGUAAUGAUUGUUCUCAAUUAUUUUAUGAAUCUAUAGCUAGUAGUAGUUUUUAGCCAUUAAACUUUUAUUUGAGUAUUCCUGCAGAAAUAAAUCCUUAUUUGCGUAGGUAUUUCCUACUUAGACAUUUAUCCAUGUCGCAUGUUUGAAUUCUACUCCCUCCGUUCCUAAAUAUAAGUCUUUAAAGAAAUUUCACUAGAUGACUACAUAUGAAACAAAAUGAAUGAAUCUACACUUUAAAAUAUGUCUAUAUACAUAGAUGUAGUCCUUUAGUAGAAUCCCUAGAAAGACUUAUAUUUAGGAACGGAGGGAGUAUUUGUCAAAAUGCAGGUAUACUGUCUAUCUAAAAAAAAUGUAGGUACACUGCAGAUAAGAGUUUCCUCAAAAUGAAAUUACCGUUAAUUUUUUGAAAAUUGCAAGACACAAUUUAAAUAUUCAUAUUUUAUAGUAAGCAUUUUACUGAUAUUUUUUUACUUACACGUACUCUUAUAUUUUCUCAGCUCAAAUAUGUACGCUAGCAGUUGAGAAAUACAUUUUAUUUUGUAAAACUCUGUUUGAAAAUUUUAUGUCAUACUAGUAAAAGUGCUCGUGCAUUGCACCGGGUUAGAUUGUUGAUAUUUGGAUCAUGAAUUUUGUAUUUGAAAAGUCCCGCCCUCAUUCUUUGUCGACAUCUACUCCAGCUCUGCACCUUCGUGGAAGUGCAAGUAGAGAUUCAAACAUAUGAACUUUCGUACAAAUGGAGUGAAACUUCACGCAGAUUGGUCAUAUAGUUACCACAAGACCAUCAUCAUAGUUUUACUUAUUUAAUCUCUGCAAACAGCAUUAUUAUUUAAUCUCUGCAAACAACAUGAAGGAAAAAAGGUGGGGGAAACUCUCAAAAAAAAAAUCGGCUCUGUCAUAGCCAAAGGCCCCGAACCGAUCCAGGUUAUAGUUCUGUCUUUUAAAUGAGCAAACUUAGCUAAGCUAUCACUAAUCUUAUUUUGACUACGAUUGAUAUGAGUAAUAUGAUUCAUCCAAAAGAGUAGUUGGAACUUUGAUUUAAUUUUCACAAACACCUUGCAAAAAUGAUAGUGAUACGCCAAAAAUUCAUUUCGCUCGCCUGGUUAGCACAGACAGAGUUUGCUGACUUAGACAACUGACAAGAUCUGGGCAUGGAAUAAGGAUCAUGAAAACUUGGAAAAUCAAAAAUCUGCAUACAUCUUUUUUUAUUUGAGAAAGGCAUGCAUCAUUUCAAAGUCUCUGAUUCAACACGCACCAGUAAAUAUAGUAACUACCAGCUGGAGUCGUCAUUACAUAAAUGAUGUUAUAACCUCCAUCAGCUACAGAUUACAAUGGAACACACCAAAGGGUACAGGUUGCCAUCAGCAUGAAUGUGCCAAGGUAUUUCUCUUUUUUGGGAGCACAAAUAUUCAGUAAGUACAAUGGGCUCCAUUAACCUCGCAUCUCCUGAUUAUGCAUAGCAGAAUGGUCAUAGAAGCUGAAUGUCGAUAUACAGAUAUUUUGACCAUAGAAGCUCAAUCAUCACACAACAGCCAGAGGAUUAUAUUUAUGCAAGAGAGAUACGUGCAUCAUCAACUGAAAAUGCUGCAGGGUGAAAACAAAGGUCAAGUGUAUUACACAGCCCUGAGCUUUGGCACGUUACGAUUAUAUCUGCAUCUUACUUCAUAUUUGCUGCUCCUUCGCUCUCUUACGAGCCAGUGCUCGUUCUCUAGCAGCAGCAAGUGCAUCAUUACUCCUCUUAUAGUGCUCGUCAGUGAUUGGCGCUGGUUGAGCAUUCUGGAGAGCUUGUGAAGCAGAUGUGGAAACAUCUGCCUCUUUCUCAAUAGAUCUAGCAACUGUUUAAUCGUUUGAUCCAGUAGUUGCAGGUUCUACCACACUUCUACUUUCAUGAGCCUUGUCUGAUCCUUCACUGGAUUCCCUCCUGUGCUUAGGAGAAUGACCGGAUCCUUCGGCAUCAGACUUGCUAGGUUGAACAUCUUCUCCUUUAUUUUCCAACUUUUCACGUUCUGCAAUUUCUGUAUUGUCAUGUGUCCGUGCACCCAAAGCAACAUUCUUAGCAAGCCCAAAGUAAAAAGCAUUCAAGUCUUUCUUUUUAGUUACCUACAUAAAAACAGAUAACAAAAUUCAAAUCAGUUAGCCAAAAGAGAAGAUAACUGUUAAACAUUAGAUAUAUGUUUCCUUUGCAAGGCAGACAAACUUGUGCACAAACAAGCCAGAAAAAAGGGGAAAAGAAAAGAAAUAGAAAAGGAAGACCAGAAGGGAUCUGGCGAGGGGGCACCGGAGUUGAUGCGGGCGGCGAGGGCGAGGAAUGCGCGGGCCUCGCCGUCAGUGCGGUAGAGCGAGCCGUUGAGCGGCCUGAGCUCGAGCGUCGAUAUGAAGGGCCGGCCGGUGGUGGCGUUGGAGAGGCAGACGGAGACGGUGGAGGACUGGGCCAGGACGACGGCCUCCCUGGUGAGCCGGCGCCAAAGGACCCCAUCCUCGGCGUCACCGAGGCCUUCCUCACCGACCCCAUGGCCGGGAGAGACCCACCUCGACGCGUCCGGCCGGAGGUGGAGGAGGUGGCUGGUGGCGACGUGGUGGCCGGGUGCUAGGAGGAGCCGGUCGGUGGAGAGGAGGGGCAGGGGGGCGGAGGAGGCCCUGUCUCUUAUANNNNNNNNNNNNNNNNNNNNNNNNNNNNNNNNNNNNNNNNNNNNNNNNNNNNNNNNNNNNNNNNNNNNNNNNNNNNNNNNNNNNNNNNNNNNNNNNNNNNNNNNNNNNNNNNNNNNNNNNNNNNNNNNNNNNNNNNNNNNNNNNNNNNNNNNNNNNNNNNNNNNNNNNNNNNNNNNNNNNNNNNNNNNNNNNNNNNNNNNNNNNNNNNNNNNNNNNNNNNNNNNNNNNNNNNNNNNNNNNNNNNNNNNNNNNNNNNNNNNNNNNNNNNNNNNNNNNNNNNNNNNNNNNNNNNNNNNNNNNNNNNNNNNNNNNNNNNNNNNNNNNNNNNNNNNNNNNNNNNNNNNNNNNNNNNNNNNNNNNNNNNNNNNNNNNNNNNNGGAUCCGAUCAGGGGGCGAGGGGCUGCCCUGCGGCGGUGGGGCGGAUCUGAUCAGGGGGCGAGGGGCUGCCCUGCGGCGGUGGGGCGGAUCCGAUCCGGGGCGAGGGGCUUUCUUGCAAAUCUGAAACGUUUUUCCACUUAAUCAGGGACUGUGGGUUGAAUGCUCGAAAACGGAGGGACUUUUUCGCAAAAAAGCCACGACGGACGGCAGAAGCGCUCCGCGCUUUAUUAUUAGGGGAGACUAUAGUGGUGCAUCAGGGUAAUCUUAGGUCCAGCUCCACCCCUGCCUGCUUCGUCUCGCUGCCCUGCACUGCUUCUCCCCUGCUAUGCUUCUCCCUUCUCUACAUCAAGCUGCAUUUUAUAUUGAUAUUCAAUGGGUGAGAAUACCCGAGGACGAGCAUGAACCAUGAACAUCAUAUGAACUGGCGAGAAAUUUAAUUAAAUGGUGUUGAGUAGCAAAUGUAUGUGAUACGUCCAAAUUCAUCACUAUUUUGUAUCAUAUUUGUCUUUAUUCAUUAAUAUAUUUCACAUUAUGAUGAUGUAUUUAUAGUGUUUUGGUUUAUUUUACAUAGUUUACAACUUUGCCGAGACAACAAACGUAGGAUUGAGCGAAGAAAAUAACACGAAGAGUUACCAUAUUAGAAUAUCUCCAACUGCGCUGAAAUUUUGAGGGAAGGAGUUUUCCGAACAGAUCAUGAAGAUAGGCCGGAGGGGGGCCACAGGUCACCCAGGCGACCUGCUGGCGCGGGCCACCCCUAGGCCGCGCCCAGAGGCCACCUGGGUGGUGGGUCCCGCCUCCGACACUCUCCUUUGGCCUAUAUCAUCCCCUUGACCUAAAAGUUACGGGGAUAUAAGUUUUUUCGGAGUUCCGCCGCCGCUCCGGUGCGAAAACCUACAGAGAAGAAAAGACCUUUCUGGCGGGCAGUUUCCGCCGGGGAGAACUCCUCCUGGAGGGGGAGAUCGUCCUCAUCGUCAUCACCAUCGUCACGGGCAUCAUCGAGAUCAUCAUCUGUUGGGGAAGGGAAACAAAAAAUUUCCUACGCACACGAAGACCUAUCAUGGUGAUGAUCAUCUACGAGAGGGAGAUGGGAUCCACAUAUGCUUGUAGAUCGCUAGGGGAAGCGUUAAUAAACACGGUUGAUGUAGUGGUACGUCUUCACGAUCCGUCCCCCGAACCGUCCCACGAUCCAUCCCACGAACUGUCUCAUGAUCCGUCCCACGAUCCGUCCCGAUCAAGUGUCGAACGGACGGCACCUCCGCAUUCCGCACACGUACAGCUCGAUGACGAUCUCCGCCUUCUUGAUCCAGCAAAAGGGGCUGGGAAAUAGAUGAGUUAUCCAGCAGCGUGACGGUGCGCCGGUGAUGGUGAUGAUCUAUUCCUGCAGGGCUCCACCCGAGCUCCGCAGAAAACCGAUCUAGAGGAAGAACUAUGAUCUAGAGGAGAGGGCAGCACGUGGCAAAGUUGUGUGUCUCAAAAACCCUCAAUACCUCUAGUAUAUAUAGGAGGGUGGAGGGGAGGAGGCAGCCUCAAACCCUCAAGGUUUGGCCGAAAUUGGAGGUGGAGGAGUCCUACUCCAAUCCUACUAGGAGUAGGAUUCCUUCUUUCCACAUGGAAACCCUUUCCGCCUUUUUCACCUUUGGAUUUUUGCCUCUCAAACCUCACGGGCCUUAGUGGGAGCUCAUGUUAUCCCACUAGGGGCUGGUUUGUAUCCUCCCACAGCCCAUAAGGCCCCUCGGGGCGUGACACCCCUCACGAUGGUCCCCGGUACCCUUCCGGCACUCCCAGUACACUACCGAUGAGCCCGAAGCUUUUCCGGUGACCAAAAUAGGACUUCCUAUAUAUCAAUCUUUACCUCCGGACCAUUUCGAAGCUCCUCGUGACGUCCGGGAUCUCAUCCCGGAGAUCGAAUAACUUUUUGUUACCAACACCUAUAACUCAACUAUACCGAAACGUCACCGAACCUUAAGUGUGCAGACCCUACGGGUUCGAGAAUUAUGCACACAUGACCUAAGACAUUCUCCGUUCAAUAACCAAUAGCUGGACCUAGAUGUCCGUAUUGUAUCCUACAUAUUCUACGAAGAUCUCUAUCGGUAGAACCUCUAUGUCAAGGAUUCAGUUAAUCCCGUAUGUUGUUUCCUUUGUCCUUUGGUAUGUUACUUGCCCGAGAUUCGAUCGUCGGUAUCUCCAUACCUAGUUCAAUCUCGUUACCAGCAAGUCUCUUUACUCGUUCCGUAAUACAAGAUCCCGUAACUAACUCCUUAGUCACAUUGCUUGCAAGGCUUGUUGUGAUGUUGUAUUACCGAGUGGGCCCCGAGAUACCUCUCCGUCACACGGAGUGACAAAUCCCAGUCUUGAUCCAUGCCAAACCAACAGACACCUUUGGAGAUACCUGUAGAGCACCUUUAUAGUCACCCAAUAACGUUGCAACGUUUGAUACACACAAUGUAUUCCUCCGGUGUCCGGUAGUUGCAUGAUCUCAUGGUCAUAGGAACACAUACAUUGACAUGCAGAAAAACAGUAGCAAUAAACUGACACAAUCAUAAGCUACAUUUAUAGUUUGGGUCUUGUCCAUCACAUCAUUCUCCUAAUGAUGUGAUUCCGUUAUCAAGUGACUACACUUGCCUAUAUGGCCAGGAAACCUUGAUCAUCUUUGAUCAACGAGCUAGUCAACUAGAGGCUCACUAGGGACAGUGUGUUGUCUAUGUAUCCACACAUGUAUUUGAGUUUCCAAUCAAUACAAAUAUAGGAUGGAUAAUAAACGAUUAUCAUGAACAAGGAAAUAUAAUAAUAACCAAUUUAUUAUUGCCUCUAGGGCAUAUUUCAAACAAUCUCCCACUUGCACUAGAGUCAAUAGUCUACUUCACAUCACUGUGUGAUUGUAAUGAAUCUAACACCCAUACAGUUCUGGGGUUCGAUCAUGUCUUGCUUGUGAGAGAGGUUUUUAGUCAAGUUCAGAUCCGUGUGUGCUUUACAAAUCUCUAUGUCAUUCUAUGCUGCUACUACGUGCCAUUUGGAACUAUUCCAAAUGACUGCUCCACUAUACGAAUCCGGUUUACUACUCAGAGUUAUUCGGAUUAGUGUCAAAGCUUGCAUCGACGUAACCUUUACAACGAACUCUUUAAUCACCUCCACAAUCGAGAAAAAUACCUUAGUCCACUAGUUACUAAGGAUAAAUUUGACCUUGUUCAGUGAUUCAAUCCUGGAUCACUUUUUGCACCUCUUGACAGACUCAUGACAAGGCACACAUCAGGUGCUACACAACAUGGCAUAGUUUAGAGCCUAUGGCUAAGGCAUAGGGGACGACCUUCGUCCUUUCUCUUUCUUCUGUCGUGGUCGGGGUUUGGGUCUUACUCAAAUUCACACCUAACAACACAACCAAGAACUCCUUCUUUGUUGUUCUAUUUUGAACUCCUUCAAAAACUUGUCAAGGCAUGCAUUUCAUUGAAAGUUCUAUUUAGCGUUUUGAUCUAUCUCUAUAGAUCUUGAUGCUCAAUAUUCAAGUAGCUCCAUCCAGGUUUUACUUUGAAAAACCCAUUUCAAACAACCCUUUAUGCUUUCCAGAAAUUCUAUAUUACUUCCAAUCAACAAUAUGUCAACCACAUAUCCUUAUCAGAAAUUCUAUAGUGCUCCCGCUCACUUCUUCGGAAAUACAAGUUUCUCAUAAACCUUGUAUAAACCCAAAAGCUUUGAUCAUCUCAUCAAAGCGUAUAUUCCAACUCCGAGAUGCUUGCAUCAGUCCAAAAGUUUUCAGAGAAGGUGCGGAUGGGAUCGUGAGGAGAUGCAUACCGGAGUAUGAGCAGAAGGAUAUCUUGAGACAAUGUCAUAACAAGGUUCUCCAGUCAGGUUUUUAUUGGCCUACUCUCGUUAAAGACGCUAGAAAUUAUGUUUUAUCUUGUGAUAAGUGCGAGAGAGUUGGUAAUAUUAGUAGGAGAAAUGAGAUGCCUAUGAAUUAUUCUCUAGUCAUUGAGCCCUUUGAUUGCUGGGGUUUUGAUUUUAUGGGUCCUUUUCCUCCUUCACACAAAUACACUCACAUCUUUGUGGCUAUUGAUUAUGUGACCAAGUGGAUUGAAGCAAUCCCCACUGAAAGUGCUGAUCACAAGACAUCUUUGAAAAUGCUCAAGGAUGCAAUCUUCCCUAGGUUUGGUGUACCUAGGUACCUCAUGACUGAUGGAGGAUCGCAUUUUACACAUGGUGCUUUUAGAAAAGCUCUAGCCAAAUAUGAUGUUAAUCAUAGAAUUGCUUCACCUUACCACUCUCAAACAAGUGGGCAAGCUGAGCUCACAAAAAGAGAGAUCAAGUUGAUUUUACAAAAGACAUUGAACAGUUCUAGAAAGGACUGGUCCAAAAAGCUAGGAGAUGCCUUGUGGGCGUACAAAACUACUUACAAAAAUCCCAUGGGGAUGUCUCCAUAUAAGAUGGUCUAUGGCAAGGCAUGUGAUACGUCCAAAAUGCAUCACUAUUUUGUAUCAUAAUUUGUCUCUAUUCAUUGAUAUAUUUCACUUUAUGAUGAUGUACUUAUAGUGUUUUGGCUUAUUUUACAUAGUUUACAACUUUC